This 248-nucleotide ribosomal RNA is filed under the name uncultured bacterium. Its description in RNAcentral is "partial 16S ribosomal RNA". It matches the Rfam family "Bacterial small subunit ribosomal RNA", at positions 29 to 266 of the family's 1533-position model. The record is from RNAcentral.
AGUGAACGCUGGCGGCGUGCUUAACACAUGCAAGUCGAGCGAGAUUUAACAGCGUAUCGUUGAGUCUAGCGGCAGACGGGUGAGUAAUACUUGGGCAAUCUGCCCUUGAGUGGGGGACAACCUGCCGAAAGGCGGGCUAAUACCCCACUAAGACCACAGGGUGACAUCAUCUAGAGGUCAAAGACUCCGCAAGGGGCGGCUUGAGGAGGAGCCCGAGUCCAUCAUGGUAGUUGGUGAGGUAACGGCUC